UACGAAGGGGGCUAGCGUUGUUCGGAAUUACUGGGCGUAAAGCGCACGUAGGCGGAUCGAUCAGUCAGGGGUGAAAUCCCAGGGCUCAACCCUGGAACUGCCUUUGAUACUGUCGAUCUGGAGUAUGGAAGAGGUGAGUGGAAUUCCGAGUGUAGAGGUGAAAUUCGUAGAUAUUCGGAGGAACACCAGUGGCGAAGGCGGCUCACUGGUCCAAUACUGACGCUGAGGUGCGAAAGCGUGGGGAGCAAACAGG
This 253-nucleotide ribosomal RNA is filed under the name uncultured bacterium. RNAcentral's name for it is "partial 16S ribosomal RNA". It matches the Rfam family "Bacterial small subunit ribosomal RNA", at positions 524 to 776 of the family's 1533-position model. The record is from RNAcentral.